This 76-nucleotide transfer RNA is filed under the name Bacillota bacterium. Its description in RNAcentral is "Firmicutes bacterium (anaerobic digester metagenome) tRNA-Arg". It matches the Rfam family "tRNA". From Rfam's summary of the family: Transfer RNA (tRNA) molecules are approximately 80 nucleotides in length. Their secondary structure includes four short double-helical elements and three loops (D, anti-codon, and T loops). The record is from RNAcentral. Lineage: Bacteria; Bacillati; Bacillota.
GCGCCCGUAGCUCAGUGGAUAGAGUGCCUGACUACGAAUCAGUAGGUCGGAGGUUCAAGUCCUCCCGGGCGCGCCA